UCAAGCAGAAAGGGCACAGGGCGGAUGCCUUGGCACUAAGGGCCGAAGAAAGACGUGAUAAGCUGCGAUAAGCUUCGGGGAGGAGCAAAUAUCCAUUGAUCCGGAGAUCUCUGAAUGGGGAAACCCACAUGAGCAAACCUCAUGUAUCCAUACGCCAAUCCAUAACGUAUGGAGGGGAACCCGGGGAACUGAAACAUCUAAGUACCCGGAGGAAAAGAAAGAAAACUCGAUUCCGUAAGUAGCGGCGAGCGAACGCGGAAGAGCCUAAACCGGUGUGCGUGCACACCGGGGUUACGGACUGCAUUUAAGAUUCUGCAAUGUUAGUGGAACGGUUUUGGGAAAGCCGGCCGGAGAGGGUGAAAGCCCCGUAGACGAAAACAGAGCAGACUGAGCAGGAUCCAGAGUACCGCGGGACACGAGAAACCCUGCGGGAAGUGAGGGGGACCACCCCCUAAGGCUAAAUACCACUUAGUGACCGAUAGCGCAUAGUACUGUGAAGGAAAGGUGAAAAGGACCCCGGGAGGGGAGUGAAAGAGAACCUGAAACCCUGUGUCUACAAGCUGUGGGAGUGCUUUAUAUGCACGACCGCGUACUUUUUGUAGAACGGUCCGGCGAGUUGCGCUCACUGGCAAGGUUAAGCACCGAAGGUGCGGAGCCGUAGGGAAACCAAGUCUUAAGAGGGCCAGAGUCAGUGGGGGCAGACCCGAAACCGGGUGAUCUAUCCAUGUCCAGGUUGAAGCUGCCGUAAGAGGCAGUGGAGGACCGAACCCACAUCCGUUGAAAAGGGUGGGGAUGAGGUGUGGAUAGGGGAGAAAUUCCAAUCGAACCCGGAGAUAGCUGGUUCUCCUCGAAAUAGCUUUAGGGCUAGCCUUGGUAGAGAUUUGCGGAGGUAGAGCACUGAAUUUCCUAGGGGGCGUCAAAGCCUACCGAAGAAUAUCAAACUCCGAAUGCCGUGUAAUUGCUUACCAGGAGUCAGACUGCACGAGAUAAGUUGGGCAGUCAAAAGGGAAAGAGCCCAGACCUUCAGUUAAGGUCCCAAAGUGUGCGUUAAGUGGAAAAGGAUGUGGGAUUUCGAAGACAACCAGGAUGUUGGCUCAGAAGCAGCCAUUCAUUCAAAGAGUGCGUAAUAGCUCACUGGUCGAGAGGUCCUGCGCCGAAAAUGUCCGGGGCUGAAACGCACCACCGAAACUAAGGGAUCCGAAAGGAUCGGUAGAGGAGCAUUGCAUGUGGGACGAAGCAGUACCGUAAGGAGCUGUGGACUGCAUGGAAGAGAGAAUGCCGGAAUGAGUAGCGAGAUAGAGGUGAGAAUCCUCUAGGCCGAAUAUCCAAGGUUUCCAGGGUAAAGCUGAUCUGCCCUGGGUAAGUCGGGGCCUAAGGUGAGGACGAGAGUCGUAGCCGAUGGACAACAGGUGGAGAUUCCUGUACUAUGAUAUGACAGAACUGUGGGGACACGUGCAGAGAGCGGAAGCCGGGAAUGGGAUCCCGGUGCAAGCGAGGUACCAGCCGCAUUGGAAAAACCGUGCGGCAAUGGGAAGACGUGAUGCGGAGUGAAGUUUAGUAAUGAAGUCCGUGAGCUGUGCGUCAAGAAAAGCCGCUAUUGUUCAUACCAUACCCGUACCGUAAACCGACACAGGUGGAUGAGGAGAGAAUCCUAAGGCCGGCGGAAGAAGCAUUGUCAAGGAACUCGGCAAAAUGACCCCGUAACUUCGGGAGAAGGGGUGCCUGCGAGAGCAGGCCGCAGAGAAUAGGCUCAAGCAACUGUUUAGCAAAAACACAGGUCUAUGCGAAACCGAAAGGUGAGGUAUAUGGGCUGACGCCUGCCCGGUGCUGGAAGGUUAAGAGGAGAGGUUAGCGCAAGCGAAGCUUUGAAUUUAAGCCCCAGUAAACGGCGGCCGUAACUAUAACGGUCCUAAGGUAGCGAAAUUCCUUGUCGGGUAAGUUCCGACCCGCACGAAAGGCGUAAUGAUUUGAGCGCUGUCUCGACAAUGCAUCCGGUGAAAUUGAAGUACCAGUGAAGAUGCUGGUUACCU
This 2030-nucleotide ribosomal RNA is filed under the name human gut metagenome. Its description in RNAcentral is "bacterial LSU rRNA". It matches the Rfam family "Bacterial large subunit ribosomal RNA", at positions 1 to 2071 of the family's 2925-position model. The record is from RNAcentral.